AGCGAACACUGGCGGCAGGCUUAACACAUGCAAGUCGAACGGGCGUAGCAAUACGUCAGUGGCAGACGGGUGAGUAACGCGUGGGAACGUACCUUUUGGUUCGGAACAACACAGGGAAACUUGUGCUAAUACCGGAUAAGCCCUUACGGGGAAAGAUUUAUCGCCGAAAGAUCGGCCCGCGUCUGAUUAGCUAGUUGGUGAGGUAACGGCUCACCAAGGCGACGAUCAGUAGCUGGUCUGAGAGGAUGAUCAGCCACAUUGGGACUGAGACACGGCCCAAACUCCUACGGGAGGCAGCAGUGGGGAAUAUUGGACAAUGGGGGCAACCCUGAUCCAGCCAUGCCGCGUGCAGGAUGAAGGCCUUCGGGCUGUAAACUGCUUUGUUACGGAACGAAAGAACUCUGGUUAAUACCUGGGGUCCGAUGACGGUACCGUAAGAAUAAGCACCGGCUAACUACGUG
RNAcentral lists this ribosomal RNA (461 nucleotides) under uncultured bacterium. RNAcentral's name for it is "bacterial SSU rRNA". It matches the Rfam family "Bacterial small subunit ribosomal RNA", at positions 29 to 507 of the family's 1533-position model. The record is from RNAcentral.